CGGGAUUGGUCGACGACGCAG
RNAcentral lists this non-coding RNA (21 nucleotides) under Caenorhabditis elegans. Lineage: Eukaryota; Metazoa; Nematoda; Chromadorea; Rhabditida; Rhabditidae. The record is from RNAcentral.